This 79-nucleotide transfer RNA is filed under the name Anguilla anguilla (European eel). Its description in RNAcentral is "tRNA-OTHER". Lineage: Eukaryota; Metazoa; Chordata; Actinopteri; Anguilliformes; Anguillidae. The record is from RNAcentral.
GGCAGUGUAGCAUAAUGGGUUAAGGAGUUGGUCUUGUAACCUGAAGCUCACAGGUUCAAUUCCCGCUAGGACACUGCCG